GAAUACACCCAAUUUCCUCUGAUCUCGGAAGCUAAGC
Molecule: ribosomal RNA, 37 nt
Filed under: Propithecus coquereli (Coquerel's sifaka)
Lineage: Eukaryota; Metazoa; Chordata; Mammalia; Primates; Indriidae
Source: RNAcentral